UAGCUAGUUGGUGAGGUAAAGGCUUACCAAGGCGACGAUCUGUAGCGGGUCUGAGAGGAUGAUCCGCCACACUGGAACUGAGACACGGUCCAGACUCCUACGGGAGGCAGCAGUGGGGAAUUUUGGACAAUGGGGGCAACCCUGAUCCAGCCAUGCCGCGUGAGUGAAGAAGGCCUUCGGGUUGUAAAGCUCUUUCGGCCGGGAAGAAAUCGCAUGGGCCAAUACCCUGUGUGGAUGACGGUACCGGAAUAAGAAGCACCGGCUAACUACGUGCCAGCAGCCGCGGUAAUACGUAGGGUGCGAGCGUUAAUCGGAAUUACUGGGCGUAAAGCGUGCGCAGGCGGUUUUGUAAGACAGGCGUGAAAUCCCCGGGCUUAACCUGGGAACUGCGUUUGUGACUGCAAGGCUAGAGUACGGCAGAGGGGGGUGGAAUUCCACGUGUAGCAGUGAAAUGCGUAGAGAUGUGGAGGAACACCAAUGGCGAAGGCAGCCCCCUGGGUCGAUACUGACGCUCAUGCACGAAAGCGUGGGUAGCAAACAGGAUUAGAUACCCUGGUAGUCCACGCCCUAAACUAUGUCAACUAGGUGUUGGGUGGGUAAAACCAUUUAGUACCGUAGCUAACGCGUGAAGUUGACCGCCUGGGGAGUACGGCCGCAAGGUUAAAACUCAAAGGAAUUGACGGGGACCCGCACAAGCGGUGGAUGAUGUGGAUUAAUUCGAUGCAACGCGAAAAACCUUACCUACCCUUGACAUGCCAGGAACUUGCCAGAGAUGGCUUGGUGCCCGAAAGGGAGCCUGGACACAGGUGCUGCAUGGCUGUCGUCAGCUCGUGUCGUGAGAUGUUGGGUUAAGUCCCGCAACGAGCGCAACCCUUGUCGUUAAUUGCCAUCAUUUAGUUGGGCACUUUAACGAGACUGCCGGUGACAAACCGGAGGAAGGUGGGGAUGACGUCAAGUCCUCAUGGCCCUUAUGGGUAGGGCUUCACACGUCAUACAAUGGUCGGUACAAAGGGUUGCCAAGCCGCGAGGCGGAGCCAAUCCCAGAAAGCCGAUCGUAGUCCGGAUUGCAGGCUGUAACUCGCCUGCAUGAAGUCGGAAUCGCUAGUAAUCGUGGAUCAGCAUGUCACGGUGAAUACGUUCCCGGGUCUUGUACACACCGCCCGUCACACCAUGGGAGCGGGUUCCGCCAGAAGUAGGUAGCCUAACCGCAAGGGGGGCGCUUACCACGGCGGGGUUCGUGACUGGGGUGAAGUCGAAACAAGGUAGCCGUAGGGGAACCUGCGGCUG
RNAcentral lists this ribosomal RNA (1287 nucleotides) under metagenome. Its description in RNAcentral is "bacterial SSU rRNA". It matches the Rfam family "Bacterial small subunit ribosomal RNA", at positions 242 to 1520 of the family's 1533-position model. The record is from RNAcentral.